This 69-nucleotide transfer RNA is filed under the name Japanagallia malaisei. RNAcentral describes it as "tRNA-His". Lineage: Eukaryota; Metazoa; Arthropoda; Insecta; Hemiptera; Cicadellidae. The record is from RNAcentral.
AUUUAAGUAUUUUAAUUAAAAUAAAGAUUUGUGGAGUCUUAGAUGCUGAGUUAAUUAUAGCCUUAGGUU